UGUUCCUUUAUAACUGGCUUAGCUAUGAUUGUUGGCUACUUGAGCGAUGAAGAUGCUUUGUACCAGCUCUUCCCUACAGACCUGCCCAAGCACAACCCUCAUCUUCAAGGCCCCCUCACUCCCUCCAAACUCUCACUAUUCCUCCGAAACUUCGUAAGGGUUUUACACUACGACUUCAACCUUUCUCUCGCUCUGCUGCUGGUAAUUCUUUGUUUACUUUUGGUUUGAGCUCAAAUUUCAUCUAAGAAAUAUAAUUGGUGUUGCCAGUCUUUUUUAAUUUCUCGGCGAUUGAAUGAAGCAGUAAUCUUUUUUUCUGAUUAGUUUAGUUCAUAUGCACUAAUUUUUUUACAUUUUCCUGGUUGUGUCAGUGCCCAAUUUGGAUGAAUUGAAGAAAUAUUUGUUUCUUCAACGUAUUACAUAUCUUUGCUCGUAUUUGGUAUUGAAAUGUCUAUACAUUCUGUUUAAUUUUCUGAAGAAAUAUGACUCCUGAUUCGUUUUUCUAGUGGAAGCCGUUUAUGCAUUUUGAUUUCUGACCAUGGUUGUGGCUAUCCAUGCAUGUAACAUUCUCUCUUGUUUACACUCAAUAUCCCCAUCAACCCAUGAUAAUGGAAAGUUAAGUUGCCAUGAGUUUUGGGGGAACUCAUUCUUACUUCAUGGAAAGUCAAACUUUUUCUCCUGUAAACUCAAUUUUGUACGAGCAUUAGCUGUUUUGAACAAUGUAGAAGAAAGAGAGGUGACGGAAAUAGAGAAUGAUAAACCAAGGUAUAGGUUAAUAGGUGGCUUGAGGUUGGCCCGAAUAUUACAGAAGCCCAAAAGCAGACUAUAUCUCAACUCCACCAAAUAUGACCAAGCGAUGCAAGGCAUUCAUGAAACAGAUAAUUUGUUAUGAUCCUUGAAAAGGCACUUUACCGGAUUUGUUAGCUGUGUGGGUGAGAUAUAUGAAGCCUAGAAGAGCUGAUUGGCUUGUGGUUCUUAAGGAAUUAAAUGGGUUGGAGCAUCCUUGUUAUUUUGAGGUAUUUCAUCUCUUUCCAAAUUCGAAUAUUUGCUGAUACUUCUUUCGCUUUAGUGCUGGCAUACUUUGAUUUCUUGCACUAGUGUUAUGAAUUUUAUGGACAAAGUUUGGGGAAUUGAGUUAAGACUGCCUGGAAGAAAAUGCUGAUCUGAUAUUUUUCUGUUGAAAUGAGAGCUCACCAUUCUGUAGUUACUUCUUUUAUAAUAGAACUUCAGAAAACUACCUUCAAUUUAAAUCACUGAUAUGUUCGGAUACUUCACUCCAUUGAUGAUUGGCUUUUUGUAGCUUACCAACAUUGCAUCUCAAACAUUGUAAGUCUUUUGUCCAAGCAUUUUCAUAAGAGUGUGAUUUCUCUACCCUAUGGUUGUAAAUUGUAAUGUAUAACAUGUCAACUGUUUUCGUCAUUUUCUUUUAAUUCCCUUUUUUCUUGUUGAGAUAUACUGAAAAUAGGCCAAGUUUUUGUUAGUCCUGCACAAUAUUAUGAGAGUUAAUAAACUAUUAUUUCCAGAAAAUAGCUGCAUAGGGAUAUUGAAGAUAUUCCUAAACUGGAUUGUAAAAGUGAAAACGCAGAAAGACUUGGUGAAACAAAUUAGUCCGACAGUAUUGAACCAGCAACUUCAUUUUCUUAAUUCAUUCCUGUGAGGAUAAGUUUUUUUCUGUAUCGAGGUUGCAGAGGCAGGGUUAUGCCACAUUCCUCUGGGGAUUUUGUAAAAUGAUCAAUAUUGGUGGUUUGUUUCUGAUAAAUUGGAAUUGAUGAAGGGUCGGAUAAGCAUUCGGUGGCUCUCCUUCUUCUUUUGUUCUCUGUGCUCACUCAAGCAUCUUCCAUCUUCUCAUUCAUUCCUCCUGAUAUUAAGCUGUGUGGGCUCCUUAUACAUGCCUAUCAAAUGGCGGGUCAAAGUCCAAAAUGCAUAUGCUGCAUUUCAAAAUAUGAGGAGGGCUGGCCUAGAACCUAGUGAUAAAUGUGUAGCUUUAGUAUUGCGUGCUUAUGAAAAGGAGAACAAGCUUGGCAUGGCCUUGGCCUUUCUAAUGGAUUUGGAGAAAAGUGGAAUUAUUGUAGGAAAAGAAGCUUCAGAAGUACUGGCUAGAUGGUUUGGCAGACUUGGACUGGUGAAGAAAGUAGAGUUUGUUUUGAGAGCAUAUGCUGCAGGGGAAAAUUUUGUUGAGUGCUUGCUUCCUAUGCACUAUUCUUGCUUUGUCUGGUUUCCUCACGGUAAUCACAAAACGUGAUGCAUCUGUUGUGAGCCAAGAAUUCAGGAGGUAGAUCUAUCCCUUUCCUGUUCUAGAGUAUUUGUGAUCCUUUGUGCUGGAAACUCCUGUGAGAAUGGUGCCAUGUCCAUUGGAGUUGGAUUGGUCACUAGCUGUUGAGUCUCACUUCCCAGAUUGAGAGGGGCUUCCAAUUACAGAUUAGUCUUGUUAUGAAGUUGUGAGCAAGCACUUGUAUGCUAGAUUGAGUUGAAUCCAGUUGGACUUUUCCAUCCGUGUGAAUAAAAUCAUCAUACAAUUGGCACUAA
This is an RNA transcript of Tripterygium wilfordii, 2523 nucleotides long. RefSeq lists it as uncharacterized. The transcript is spliced from 2 exons. The record is from RefSeq and is a predicted model, not a curated record. NCBI's taxonomy places the organism in Eukaryota, Viridiplantae, Streptophyta, Magnoliopsida, Celastrales, Celastraceae.